UUACAUUGAGAAGCGUAAGAAGGGAUCUAGACCCUUGAUCACUUUUAAUUCAGCCCCACCCACGAAUUGUAGUUAUCACAGAAAUUGAUCUGGCGCAUCUCGGUGCACCGUAUUCGUGUUGAUCUUCAAUAGGAUUGACCCAAGGGUGAGAUCCCUUCUUACCCUUCUUAU
Molecule: non-coding RNA, 171 nt
Filed under: Cynara cardunculus (cardoon)
Lineage: Eukaryota; Viridiplantae; Streptophyta; Magnoliopsida; Asterales; Asteraceae
Also listed under: 1 other name
Source: miRBase by way of RNAcentral